UACGAAGGGGGCUAGCGUUGCUCGGAAUCACUGGGCGUAAAGCGCACGUAGGCGGAUUGCUAAGUCAGGGGUGAAAUCCUGGAGCUCAACUCCGGAACUGCCUUUAAGACUGCAUCGCUUGAAUCCGGGAGAGGUGAGUGGAAUUCCGAGUGUAGAGGUGAAAUUCGUAGAUAUUCGGAAGAACACCAGUGGCGAAGGCGGCUCACUGGACCGGUAUUGACGCUGAGGUGCGAAAGCGUGGGGAGCAAACAGG
This 253-nucleotide ribosomal RNA is filed under the name uncultured bacterium. RNAcentral's name for it is "partial 16S ribosomal RNA". It matches the Rfam family "Bacterial small subunit ribosomal RNA", at positions 524 to 776 of the family's 1533-position model. The record is from RNAcentral.